Molecule: ribosomal RNA, 253 nt
Filed under: uncultured bacterium
Lineage: Bacteria
Description: partial 16S ribosomal RNA
Rfam family: Bacterial small subunit ribosomal RNA
Source: RNAcentral
UACGUAGGGAGCAAGCGUUGUCCGGAAUCAUUGGGCGUAAAGCGCACGUAGGCGGCCCUGUAAGUCCGUUGUGAAAGUCAAAGGCUCAACCUUUGAAAGCCGAUGGAUACUGCAGGGCUAGAGUCCGGAAGAGGCGAGUGGAAUUCCUGGUGUAGCGGUGGAAUGCGCAGAUAUCAGGAGGAACACCAAUAGCGAAGGCAGCUCGCUGGGACGGUACCGACGCUAAGGUGCGAAAGCGUGGGGAGCGAACAGG